This 253-nucleotide ribosomal RNA is filed under the name uncultured bacterium. RNAcentral's name for it is "partial 16S ribosomal RNA". It matches the Rfam family "Bacterial small subunit ribosomal RNA", at positions 524 to 776 of the family's 1533-position model. The record is from RNAcentral.
UACGGGGGGGGCAAGCGUUGUUCGGAAUUACUGGGCGUAAAGGGCUCGUAGGCGGCCAACUAAGUCAGACGUGAAAUCCCUCGGCUUAACCGGGGAACUGCGUCUGAUACUGGAUGGCUUGAGAUUGGGAGAGGGAUGCGGAAUUCCAGGUGUAGCGGUGAAAUGCGUAGAUAUCUGGAGGAACACCGGUGGCGAAGGCGGCAUCCUGGACCAACACUCACGCUGAGGAGCGAAAGCCAGGGGAGCAAACGGG